UGUGAAGAUGCAGGUUACCCGCGACAGGACGGAAAGACCCCGUGGAGCUUUACUGUAGCCUGAUAUUGAAAUUCGGCACAGCUUGUACAGGAUAGGUAGGAGCCUUUGAAACGUGAGCGCUAGCUUACGUGGAGGCGCUGGUGGGAUACUACCCUAGCUGUGUUGGCUUUCUAACCCGCACCACUUAUCGUGGUGGGAGACAGUGUCAGGCGGGCAGUUUGACUGGGGCGGUCGCCUCCUAAAAGGUAACGGAGGCGCUCAAAGGUUCCCUCAGAAUGGUUGGAAAUCAUUCAUAGAGUGUAAAGGCAUAAGGGAGCUUGACUGCGAGACCUACAAGUCGAGCAGGGUCGAA
This 352-nucleotide ribosomal RNA is filed under the name Staphylococcus aureus. RNAcentral's name for it is "partial 23S ribosomal RNA". It matches the Rfam family "Bacterial large subunit ribosomal RNA", at positions 2052 to 2403 of the family's 2925-position model. Lineage: Bacteria; Bacillati; Bacillota; Bacilli; Caryophanales; Staphylococcaceae. The record is from RNAcentral.